AGAGUUUGAUCCUGGCUCAGGACGAACGCUGGCGGCGUGCUUAACACAUGCAAGUCGAACGGAAAGGCCCUUCGGGGUACUCGAGUGGCGAACGGGUGAGUAACACGUGGGUGAUCUGCCCUGCACUUUGGGAUAAGCCUGGGAAACUGGGUCUAAUACCGAAUAUGACCAUGCGCCUCCUGGUGUGUGGUGGAAAGCUUUUGCGGUGUGGGAUGGGCCCGCGGCCUAUCAGCUUGUUGGUGGGGUAAUGGCCUACCAAGGCGACGACGGGUAGCCGGCCUGAGAGGGUGACCGGCCACACUGGGACUGAGAUACGGCCCAGACUCCUACGGGAGGCAGCAGUGGGGAAUAUUGCACAAUGGGCGCAAGCCUGAUGCAGCGACGCCGCGUGAGGGAUGACGGCCUUCGGGUUGUAAACCUCUUUCAGCACAGACGAAGCGCAAGUGACGGUAUGUGCAGAAGAAGGACCGGCCAACUACGUGCCAGCAGCCGCGGUAAUACGUAGGGUCCGAGCGUUGUCCGGGAUUACUGGGCGUAAAGAGCUCGUAGGUGGUUUGUCGCGUUGUUCGUGAAAACUCACAGCUUAACUGUGGGCGUGCGGGCGAUACGGGCAGACUUGAGUACUGCAGGGGAGACUGGAAUCCCUGGUGUAGCGGUGGAAUGCGCAGAUAUCAGGAGGAACACCGGUGGCGAAGGCGGGUCUCUGGGCAGUAACUGACGCUGAGGAGCGAAAGCGUGGGGAGCGAACAGGAUUAGAUACCCUGGUAGUCC
Molecule: ribosomal RNA, 771 nt
Filed under: uncultured bacterium
Lineage: Bacteria
Description: bacterial SSU rRNA
Rfam family: Bacterial small subunit ribosomal RNA
Source: RNAcentral